GUAGUCAUAUGCUUGUCUCAAAGAUUAAGCCAUGCAUGUCUAAGUAUAAGCAACUAUACGGUGAAACUGCGAAUGGCUCAUUAAAUCAGUUAUCGUUUAUUUGAUAGUACCUUACUACAUGGAUAACCGUGGUAAUUCUAGAGCUAAUACAUGCUAAAAACCCCAACUUCGGAAGGGGUGUAUUUAUUAGAUAAAAAACCAAUGCCCUUCGGGGCUCCUUGGUGAAUCAUAAUAACUUCACGAAUCGCAUGGCCUUGCGCCGGCGAUGGUUCAUUCAAAUUUCUGCCCUAUCAACUUUCGAUGGUAGGAUAGUGGCCUACCAUGGUAUCAACGGGUAACGGGGAAU
This 346-nucleotide ribosomal RNA is filed under the name uncultured fungus. RNAcentral's name for it is "SSU rRNA". It matches the Rfam family "Eukaryotic small subunit ribosomal RNA", at positions 20 to 370 of the family's 1831-position model. The record is from RNAcentral. Lineage: Eukaryota; Fungi.